GUUUGAUCCUGGCUCAGAUUGAACGCUGGUGGCAUGCUUAACACAUGCAAGUCGAACGGUAACAGGAGAAGCUUGCUUCUUGCUGACGAGUGGCGGACGGGUGAGUAACGCGUAGGAAUCUGCCCAUCUGUGGGGGAUACCAGUUGGAAACGACUGUUAAUACCGCAUAAUAUCUGCGGAUUAAAGGUGGCCUUUGUGCUGCCGCAGAUGGAUGAGCCUGCGUUAGAUUAGCUUGUUGGUGGGGUAAGGGCCUACCAAGGCUACGAUCUAUAGCUGAUUUGAGAGGAUGAUCAGCCACAUUGGGACUGAGACACGGCCCAAACUCCUACGGGAGGCAGCAGUGGGGAAUAUUGGACAAUGGAGGAAACUCUGAUCCAGCAAUGCCAUGUGUGUGAAGAAGGCUCUAGGGUUGUAAAGCACUUUAGUUGGGGAGGAAAGCCUUAUAGUUAAUAGCUAUGAGGAAGGACGUUACCCAAAGAAUAAGGACCGGCUAACUCCGUGCCAGCAGCCGCGGUAAUACGGGGGGUCCGAGCGUUAAUCGGAAUUACUGGGCGUAAAGGGUCUGUAGGUGGUUUGUUAAGUCAGAUGUGAAAGCCCAGGGCUCAACCUUGGAACUGCAUUUGAUACUGGCAAACUAGAGUAUAGUAGAGGAAUGGGGAAUUUCUGGUGUAGCGGUGAAAUGCGUAGAGAUCAGAAGGAACACCAAUGGCGAAGGCAACAUUCUGGACUAAUACUGACACUGAGGGACGAAAGCGUGGGGAUCAAACAGGAUUAGAUACCCUGGUAGUCCACGCUGUAAACGAUGAGUACUAGCUGUUGGAGUCGGUGUAAAGGCUCUAGUGGCGUAGCUAACGCGUUAAGUACUCCGCCUGGGGACUACGGCCGCAAGGCUAAAACUCAAAGGAAUUGACGGGGACCCGCACAAGCGGUGGAGCAUGUGGUUUAAUUCGAUGCAACGCGAAGAACCUUACCUGGUCUUGACAUCCUGCGAACUUUCUGGAGAUAGAUUGGUGCCUUCGGGAACGCAGUGACAGGUGCUGCACGGCUGUCGUCAGCUCGUGUUGUGAAAUGUUGGGUUAAGUCCCGCAACGAGCGCAACCCCUAUUGAUAGUUACCAUCAUUAAGUUGGGUACUCUAUUGAGACUGCCGCUGACAAGGCGGAGGAAGGUGGGGACGACGUCGAGUCAUCAUGGCCCUUACGACCAGGGCUACACACGUGCUACAAUGGGUAUUACAGAGGGCAGCGAAGGAGCGAUCUGGAGCGAAACUCAGAAAGGUACUCUUAGUCCGGAUUGCAGUCUGCAACUCGACUGCAUGAAGUCGGAAUCGCUAGUAAUCGCAGGUCAGAAUACUGCGGUAAAUACGUUCCCGGGUCUUGUACACACCGCCCGUCACACCAUGGGAGUGGGUUGCUCCAGAAGUAGAUAGCUUAACGAAUGGGCGUUUACCACGGAGUGAUUCAUGACUGGGGUGAAGUCGUAACAAGGUA
RNAcentral lists this ribosomal RNA (1489 nucleotides) under uncultured Gammaproteobacteria bacterium. RNAcentral describes it as "bacterial SSU rRNA". It matches the Rfam family "Bacterial small subunit ribosomal RNA". Lineage: Bacteria; Pseudomonadati; Pseudomonadota; Gammaproteobacteria. The record is from RNAcentral.